AGUGGGGAAUAUUGCGCAAUGGGCGAAAGCCUGACGCAGCAACGCCGCGUGAGGGAUGAAGGCUUUAGGGUUGUAAACCUCUGUCAAAUGGGAAGAAUCAUGACGGUACCAUUAAAGGAAGCCCCGGCUAACUCCGUGCCAGCAGCCGCGGUAAUACGGAGGGGGCAAGCGUUGUUCGGAAUUAUUGGGCGUAAAGCGUAUGUAGGCGGUUAGAUAAGUCAGAUGUGUAAGCCCACGGCUCAACCGUGGAAUUGCAUUUGAAACUAUCUGACUUGAGUUCAGGAGAGGAAAGCGGAAUUCCCAGUGUAGCGGUGAAAUGCAUUGAUAUUGGGAAGAACAUCGGUGGCGAAGGCGGCUUUCUGGUCUGAUACUGACGCUGAGAUACGAAAGCCAGGGGAGCGAACGGGAUUAGAUACCCCGGUAGUCCUGGCCGUAAACGAUGGGUACUAGGUGCAGGGGGUAUCGAUCCCCUCUGUGUCGCAGCUAACGCAUUAAG
This 496-nucleotide ribosomal RNA is filed under the name uncultured bacterium. RNAcentral's name for it is "bacterial SSU rRNA". It matches the Rfam family "Bacterial small subunit ribosomal RNA", at positions 353 to 864 of the family's 1533-position model. The record is from RNAcentral.